CGGAGUAACACGUGAGCAACCUGCCUUUCAGUGGGGGACGAACAUUUGGAAACGAAUGCUAAUACCGCAUAAGACCACAGUGUCGCAUGGCACAGGGGUCAAAGGAUUUAUCCGCUGAAAGAUGGGCUCGCGUCCGAUUAGCUAGAUGGUGAGGUAACGGCCCACCAUGGCGACGAUCGGUAGCCGGACUGAGAGGUUGAACGGCCACAUUGGGACUGAGACACGGCCCAGACUCCUACGGGAGGCAGCAUG
RNAcentral lists this ribosomal RNA (252 nucleotides) under uncultured bacterium. RNAcentral describes it as "partial 16S ribosomal RNA". It matches the Rfam family "Bacterial small subunit ribosomal RNA", at positions 106 to 353 of the family's 1533-position model. The record is from RNAcentral.